This 70-nucleotide transfer RNA is filed under the name Astyanax mexicanus (Mexican tetra). It matches the Rfam family "tRNA". Rfam says of the family: Transfer RNA (tRNA) molecules are approximately 80 nucleotides in length. Their secondary structure includes four short double-helical elements and three loops (D, anti-codon, and T loops). Further hydrogen bonds mediate the characteristic L-shaped molecular structure. tRNAs have two regions of fundamental functional importance: the anti-codon, which is responsible for specific mRNA codon recognition, and the 3' end, to which the tRNAs corresponding amino acid is attached (by aminoacyl-tRNA synthetases). tRNAs cope with the degeneracy of the genetic code in two manners: having more than one tRNA (with a specific anti-codon) for a particular amino acid; and 'wobble' base-pairing, i.e. permitting non-standard base-pairing at the 3rd anti-codon position. The record is from Rfam by way of RNAcentral. Lineage: Eukaryota; Metazoa; Chordata; Actinopteri; Characiformes; Acestrorhamphidae.
GGCUCGUUGGUCUAGGAGUAGUUUCUCGCUUAGGGUGCGAGAGGUCCCGGGUUCAAAUCCCGACGAGCCC